CGGGUGCACUGAUCCGGCCGGGCCUUUCCCUCUGUGGAACCCCAUGGCCUUCACUGGCUGUGCGGGGGAAACAGGACUUUUACUGUGAAAAAAUUAGAGUGCUCCAGGCAGGCCUAUGCUCGAAUACAUUAGCAUGGAAUAAUAGAAUAGGACGCGUGGUUCUAUUUUGUUGGUUUCUAGGACCGCCGUAAUGAUUAAUAGGGACAGUCGGGGGCAUCAGUAUUCAAUUGUCAGAGGUGAAAUUCUUGGAUCUAUUGAAGACUAACUACUGCGAAAGCAUUUGCCAAGGAUGUUUUCAUUGAUAAGGAACGAAAGUUAGGGGAUCGAAGACGAUCAGAUACCGUCGUAGUCUUAACUAUAAACUAUGCCGACUAGGGAUCGGACGAUGUUAUUUCUUGACGCGUUCGGCACCUUUCGAGAAAUCAAAGUGCUUGGGCUCCAGGGGGAGUAUGGUCGCAAGGCUGAAACUUAAAGAAAUUGACGGAAGGGCACCACCAGGGGUGGAACCUGCGGCUUAAUUUGACUCAACACGGGGAAACUCACCAGGUCCAGACACAGUGAGGAUUGACAGAUUGAGAGCUCUUUCUUGAUUCUGUGGGUGGUGGUGCGUGGCCGUUCUUAGUUGGUGGAGUGAUUUGUCUGCUUAAUUGCGAUAACGAACGAGACCUUAACCUGCUAAAUAGCCCGUACUGCUCUGGCAGUUCGCCGGCUUCUUAGAGGGACUAUCGG
RNAcentral lists this ribosomal RNA (729 nucleotides) under uncultured eukaryote. RNAcentral describes it as "SSU rRNA". It matches the Rfam family "Eukaryotic small subunit ribosomal RNA", at positions 670 to 1426 of the family's 1831-position model. The record is from RNAcentral.